Molecule: small nucleolar RNA, 104 nt
Organism: Lactuca sativa (garden lettuce)
Lineage: Eukaryota; Viridiplantae; Streptophyta; Magnoliopsida; Asterales; Asteraceae
Source: RefSeq, a predicted model, not a curated record
AAAUCAUGUUGAGGAUAAUUUCUUAAAAGACCUUUGUAUCUUUCCUAAGCCUCGUAUAAGGAUUCUCCAUCUUGUUAAAAAUCAACAAUCACUUUCUUGAGUUU